GACGAACGCUGGCGGCGCGCUUAACACAUGCAAGUCGAGCGAGAACCGGUCCUUCGGGACCGGGGAAAGCGGCGAACGGGUGAGUAACACGUGGGUAAUCUGCCCUCGGUUUCGGGAUAGCCCGGGGAAACCCGGAUUAAUACCGAAUGGCCCUUUCGGUCUUCGGAUUGAAAGGAAAAGGUAGCUUCGGCCUCCGACCGAGGAUGAGCCCGCGGCGGAUUAGCUUGUUGGUGGGGUAACGGCCUACCAAGGCGACGAUCCGUAGCUGGUCUGAGAGGACGAUCGGCCACACUGGGACGGAGACACGGCCCAGACUCCUACGGGAGGCAGCAGUGGGGAAUCUUGCGCAAUGGGCGAAAGCCUGACGCAGCGACGCCGCGUGCGGGAAGAAGGCCUUCGGGUUGUAAACCGCUUUCAGGUGGGACGAAGCCACUCGGGUGAAUAGCCCAGAGGGUGACGGUACCUCCAGAAGAAGUCCCGGCUAACUACGUGCCAGCCGCCGCGGUAA
This 508-nucleotide ribosomal RNA is filed under the name uncultured bacterium. RNAcentral's name for it is "partial 16S ribosomal RNA". It matches the Rfam family "Bacterial small subunit ribosomal RNA", at positions 28 to 523 of the family's 1533-position model. The record is from RNAcentral.